This 913-nucleotide ribosomal RNA is filed under the name Antrodiella romellii. RNAcentral describes it as "partial 25S ribosomal RNA". It matches the Rfam family "Eukaryotic large subunit ribosomal RNA", at positions 62 to 930 of the family's 3401-position model. Lineage: Eukaryota; Fungi; Basidiomycota; Agaricomycetes; Polyporales; Steccherinaceae. The record is from RNAcentral.
NNNNNAACAAGGAUUCCCCUAGUAACUGCGAGUGAAGCGGGAAAAGCUCAAAUUUAAAAUCUGGCAGCUUUGGCUGUCCGAGUUGUAUUCUGGAGAAGUGUUUCCUGUGCUGGACCGUGUACAAGUCUCUUGGAACAGAGCGUCKUAGAGGGUGAGAAUCCCGUCUUUGACACGGACUCCCAGUGCUUUGUGAUGCGCUCUCAAAGAGUCGAGUUGUUUGGGAAUGCAGCUCAAAAUGGGUGGUAAAUUCCACCUAAAGCUAAAUAUUGGCGAGAGACCGAUAGCGAACAAGUACCGUGAGGGAAAGAUGAAAAGCACUUUGGAAAGAGAGUUAAACAGUACGUGAAAUUGCUGAAAGGGAAACGAUUGAAGUCAGUCGCGUCGGCCAGAACUCAGCCUGGCUUUUGCCUGGUGCAUUUCCUGGUUAACGGGCCAGCAUCAAUUUUGAYCGCUGGAUAAAGGCCUUGGGAAUGUGGCACCUUCGGGUGUGUUAUAGCCCUUGGUUGUAUACGGUGGUUGGGAUUGAGGAUCACAGCAUGCCUUUAUGGCCGGGGUUCGCCCACGUUCAUGCUUAGGAUGCUGGCGUAAUGGCUUUAAACGACCCGUCUUGAAACACGGACCAAGGAAUCUAACAUGCCUGCGAGUGUUUGGGUGGAAAACCCGAGCGCGCAAUGAAAGUGAAAGUUGGGAUCCCUGUCGCGGGGAGCACCGACGCCCGGACCAGACCUUUUGUGACGGAUCCGCGGUAGAACAUGUAUGUUGGGACCCGAAAGAUGGUGAACUAUGCCUGAAUAGGGUGAAGCCAGAGGAAACUCUGGUGGAGGCUCGUAGCGAUUCUGACGUGCAAAUCGAUCGUCAAAUUUGNNUNUNGGGGCGAAAGACNNNNNNNNNNNNNNNNNNNNNNNNNNNNNNN